ACGGCCAUACCAUGCUGAAUAUACCGGUUCUCGUUAGAUCACCGAAGUCAAGCAUCAUUGGGCGCGGUCAGUACUUGGGUGGGUGACCACCUGGGAACACCACGUGC
This 107-nucleotide ribosomal RNA is filed under the name Caerostris darwini. The record is from RNAcentral. Lineage: Eukaryota; Metazoa; Arthropoda; Arachnida; Araneae; Araneidae.